CCUUAUGUCUUUAAAAAGAGCUUCAAGCCAAUUCUCAAACUCGAAUCUUUGAUCUUCAAAUAAAAUCCUAAUUUAUCUUAGGCAAUCGUUUUAGUAACGAGAGGUUUGAUUUUGACCUUGUUUCACAAACGAUCAGCCCCUGGAUAACAAUCUAAUUUAUUGUCAUGGACACAAAAUACAGACUUGAAAUCUAACAAGAAGUUCAAGAAGAAGUGGCAGAACUAGAUUAAACAGAUGAGUACAAGAACAACACCAGAAAGGUGAGCUAGAACUCCAAGAAAUG
RNAcentral lists this long non-coding RNA (283 nucleotides) under Physcomitrium patens. RNAcentral's name for it is "long non-coding RNA (PPAT_LNC000858)". Lineage: Eukaryota; Viridiplantae; Streptophyta; Bryopsida; Funariales; Funariaceae. The record is from RNAcentral.